Prinia subflava (tawny-flanked prinia) is the source of this 6103-nucleotide long non-coding RNA. RefSeq lists it as uncharacterized. The transcript is spliced from 3 exons. Lineage: Eukaryota; Metazoa; Chordata; Aves; Passeriformes; Cisticolidae. The record is from RefSeq and is a predicted model, not a curated record.
GCUAUUGUGGUAAUAUCAAACGUUGAAGGCUGAAAUUUUUUGAAACUGAUGGAAGCAGACUCUCACAUUGCAUACACCAACCUAAAGAAACCAUGUUUCAGGACUUUUCUCAGUUUUCUCAAAUAAAAGAGGAAGAAACAGAAGGGGACAGCACUUCCUAAAGCAAGAUUGCUUUUGAAGCUUGUUAUGAUUUGAUAAUUGAGGUCACCCAGGAUGGUUGUGGAACCUCCAGCCUGGAAAAAAAUUCAGUGCUUAGCUGUGUAUGACUGAGCAACCUGAUAUGACUUGAGACUUACUUCUAAAUCCAAAGCCAGCUUGGCCCUGGGUGGGAGCUGGAAUCAGGUGACUCCAGAAAUCCUUUCAUUCAUUGUUGUUUUUGAGUUAUAUGUUUCUGUCUUUGUCAAUUGUUGGUCUAUUAUCCAACUCAGGUCCCAUUUUAAUUUAUCAAUUAUAAAGUGAUGAGAGCUGCUGACUCUGAAAUCGAUCAAGAAUCAACAUUAAGGCCAUCACUGAUUUACUCCAAUACACAUGAACCUUAACUCAUGCACAGCUGCUGUGGCUGUUUCAGGAAGGAACACACGAUUCUUUCUCUCCCCCCAGUUCCUGCUCAUUUAUGCAUUCAGGUGAUCCCUGUGGUGACCUACACUUCCAUAGGGGUUCUGCCAGUGAGUUAUUGCAGAAGCUCUCAAUCAUACGGAGAAACUCCUCUACAUUCUUUAUUUCAAAUGUAACAAUUUUUUUUUACUCCCUUACAAAGCACAGAAUUCUCAGUAACUUAGACUCUUGCAGAAUAAAGUCCAUAAUUUGAAAUGAAAAUGCUUUGUUGGAAUUUUUGCUGAGUUUCAUCUUAAUUUUAUUAAAGAUAAUCUUUUCCUGCAUAACAGAACAUAUAAAGUGAAAGCUAAAAUAGAAAUUUAGCUGUCACAAAGGCAGAGCAAUUGACUUUCAGGGACUGCCAAUCAAUGGCAAUUUUAAAUCUGCUGGGGACCUUCAGGUGUUUAGGGAUUCUCAGUUUUUCCAAGGUUAGUGAUUAGAGGUAUUAAUAGGCUUUAAAGAACUUUUUAUUUCAUAUUAAAUUGUUGCCCAAUUGAAACAAUAGGCAAGUCUCAAAGUUAGAAAAAGAAAACAAAACAUAUUCCAUCUUGAAAAUUCAGUAUACAGCCAAAAAGAAACUGAAUUUAAUCCAGGAAAAGAGAGGUCUCUUUUCCUUUGAACACUGAUUAAGAUCUCAUUUAAAAUAUCAAGGAAUUGUGAUCAUAAUUUUGAGGUUACCAGUGCAAAGUGAUGACUCCAGAGACAAAAUCAUUUGAAAACAAGUUUUGAUAGGUAAUUAUCCAAAGAAAUAUGUAUUUUCCUUCUAUAGAACUCUUGAGAUGCUACUGAGACUCACUAAUGUAGGCCUGAAUAAAUUAAAAAAAAAAAAAGAAACUGGAAAUUAGGAGUCCUUUAAGAGGACCAAAUUAGAUAUCCAUUAAGCCAAAAUUGAAAUAAAAAUAUGAUAGCCAAGACUAAAAUUCCAUCUUCAUUCCACAGCAGAACUUAUAAAGGAAAAGGAAGACAAAAAAAAAGGGGGGAAUAAAGAAAGAAGUAGUUCCUAGCAUUUUAUUUAUAUUGAUUUUUGUCUAUGAGGUAUCUAACCAAGCUAAGGAAAGUCAAAAGUACAGAAAAUACACCACUGGCAGAGUAAGGAAGACUUAAGAAAGAGAGAUAUUCUCACAAUUCUAUGUUAUAUGGUACCAUAACUAGAUAAAAAUAAAACCCUUUUAAUGUGGAUACCAGAAUGACAGAAAUUUAAACCAUAUAUAUAUUUUGUACUCUUUAUCACUAAUAAUGAUUUCAUAAUUUCCAAUUAAUUUUAAACCUCAGAGGAUGUUAAAUAAUGUUAAAUAAGGGGGGAAAAAAGUGUGAUUUUGUAUUCCAAAUCAGCCAAAAUAAAAGAUUUUAUCUCCAAAAAUGUAAAUGUACUCUCCAAGGUACCUGUUUAUCUCUUGGAAAUAUUAAGAAACAUUUCUGAAAAUCUGAACAGUAUCUUUAAUGUUGUCAAAAGAGAAAAGAAGAGUGAUUUUUUUACUAUAAAAGAAAACACUGAGGUUUGAAUAAUCUGAUUAAUUGCAGACAUGAACUUGAGAAGAUUUUUUAUCUUACAAUUUUUGGAAAAGUUAACGUGAAGAAUUAUGCUAUCUUCUGUCAUGCCACUUCUUCACACUUAAUGUUUUCUUUCUGUUUGUUUAACCCCUUUUCCUUUCAUUUGAUUGUGAGGUCCCUGUGAACUGUAUCUGGUAUAUAGAUAUAGUUCAGAAAUAUUUCCAAUUCUGUGGAAUCCAGCAUGGCAAAGAAGCAUAAUCUCAAUGUCACUUGGUGCUCCAUUUAGCACUACCACAUGGAUUAAAAUAGCAUUAAAGGCCAUGUAAAAGAUUCAUGAAUUGACUGACAGAUCAUGCAAAAAGCUUUUAAAUGAAGAAAUCAAAAAACCUCCAUUCCCACUCCACAUUUUUAGUUGAGCUUUGUGGAUCUGGUAGUUUUUUCUUCCUUUGGUGACCUGGACGAACAAGAUUAAUACCCAGUAAAAGCUGUCUGUAACAAAGGUAAAUUGGAAAUAAUUGAGAGGAUAUGACAGGUAUGUAAGAGUAGCUCCAAACAGAGAUAGAUGCUGUCCUGGGAAGCAAUUACUCUGGGAAGGAUUUAAGGGCUGUGAGGGGAGGCAGUGACUAACACCAGUCCCCAGUGGAAUAAGGCUGCACAAAGGGCCAGAGAUGGGUGGAUAUAAAAAACAAGUAAUGAGAGGGAUGGAGGAACAGUUUUACCUCAGUCUGUGGCAUCAGUGAGACAGAUGAUGUAACACUACACACCACCCUUUGAUCCCCAUAAAUAGUGACUACUGAGUAAUAACCAUAAGAACAACUCAGGGCAUGAGGAAAAAAGGCUGCUUGGUGAGAGACUGAAAGACUUCAAUCUGUAUCAUUUCUAACAAAAAAUAAUGUAUCAUUAUUGUGUGUCUGCACACAUACACGGAGACAAAAUUGAUGGAUAUUAAUGAUCUUUUUAACCUAUGUAACAAACAUAAUUUAUAAAUUAUGUACAAAAUAAAUGAGUGCUAGUAACUAACAAGUGAAAGGUCUGGAGCCAUCAUCCUUCAAUAGUUUCAGAAUCAGGACCUUCCUGAAAUAUAAGAUUUAAUAUAACAUAUUCUAUUGGAUUUCAGAAAGAGAUGAUUUUUAAUGGCCUAAGCAUACAAGAAUAAGAGAAAAAUACUCCAGGUCACCUCUUGUUCUUUUCUGUUCUUAACCACCAUGAAGCUGAAUGCCUUUACACAUUCUGAACAUUUUAACACUUGCCGUAGACUUUGUUAGAAAAUACCUGCCUUCAAAGAAAUAAAAAGCUAAAACAUGGACCACAGCUAAUUGAAUAGUGUGAGGUAGUGUGAGACUCAUAAUGACAGACCUGACAGGUAUUUUCUAGGGGAAAAGUAGGGAUCACUGAAAAAUAUAUAUUACUAACCAUGAAGAAACCUUCAUUGAGGCAAGUGAUCCACUGAGGAGGCAAUUUCUUUCCCAGAGCUCACUGAGGCCACUGGAGGUUGGGACUGCAUGGGUUCCACCUCUAGACAACAUUAGGGAACGAGGAUCCCCAGGAUGGGUUCUUCUUCCAUGCCACCUACCUGGCACCAGCACUCACUCAGCAUUGAAGGAAAACCUGUCUCCAAGAAUUAGUGUGACAUUUCUUUUGAUUUCACACGUAUUGUAAGUCAAGUUCAAGGAACCUGCAAACACCAACAUCAUCCUGGAAUUUAAAGGUCUCCUUGAACCAUUAUUUAGGAAAAAGUCUCCAUUUCCCCCUGUAAUUCUUUUGGCUCUUUUCUCUCUGGUCUUGAAUGCUGAGACACAAUCCCUGUGGUUUCCCCAAUACAGAGGCCUGACACAAUGACUCAUAGCUGAGCCAAGCAAUGAACCUGACUCAUAAACAACAUUGAUUUAAGAAUAAUUACUAUCUCGUUCUAUCUCUCUCUCGCUCUCUCUUUUUUUUUUUUUUUCCCUCUCUUUGGAUGUGUUUUUUCAUCCUCCACAUUUUAUGUGCUACCUUUCAUUCAGAUAAUUUCCAUGGUAUUCUUCUUGCUACAGUGAAGAGAUGCAGAGGGCUUUCUAGGUCAGUCUUUCUGCUGAAAUUACGAAGGAAUGAUUGCCUCACAAGCAAAAAAAAAAAAAAAAAAAGCAAAUUAGCUGAUACCUGCUGUAAGGCUUAUUUCAAAGGUCAUGGCCUAGUGAUUCUAUUAUUUUCCCAAGAAAAUCAACUGGAAGAAAUGUAGCUAAGAUGUUAAAUGUGGAAGCAUUGUGGAGUUCCAGUCCAUGAAAUACAAAACAAUUCACGAAAGGCGUGCAGUGUUUAUAACUAAAGGCAGGGAUCAAGGCAUGUUCAAAGCAUGCAGAAGAAAGGAAAACAUGACUAUGCUUUCGCCCUCCCCCUUUUUUUUUCUUCAGUAUUUCCCUAUCCUUUGUCUCAAUAUCUUUUUCAGCAGUGAUUUAAGAUUUAGGCUUUUGCAUCCAUAAUCCAGCUUUCCCUGAAUUAGUGUUGUGCUUCAUAAUUAGCACUGUCUCUAUCUCCUUUUCUCUGAUUGUGCAUCUGUUUCCUUCUGUUUCUUGAAACUUUUUCUACCUUUUUAAAAAGGUUUUUAAAAAAAAAAAACAAAAAACUUGUACCUUUCCUUCUCUUCUCAAUGGUGUCCUGUGCUUGAGCUCUCAGGCAAGUUCACCAGAGGUUGCUACAAGGAUUCCUCUCCUCUAUUAAAUAUUCAGCACUCAUACAAAUAUUAUCUUUUGCUUGAUCUACAGGAACUUAUUCAGCUUCAGGACAGAGGCACACCAGAAUAGAACAGAAAACUGUCUGCUAAAUUCUGUGUGAUGUUUUUCCCUUCUCCCUACUUAUCCAGGGAUGUAACAUGGAAUGUAACUACACAUUUUUGUCCCUCAAUCAUGAGUGUUGCUGUCCCUACACAGAAAGAGUCAGACCUCUUUUUUAAGGAACAGCAAAACUGGUGUGAGUUAAGCAGUGGAACUGGAUUGUGCAUUGUCCCUUCCCAUCUGCUCUGUAUCCAAUCUCUACUCCAGCAGCCAAGAUGAAUUACUGAAGAGCAGCAACACAUCUUCUGCCUUUUUCCAGCUCUGACACUCAUGAAUCUUUCCUCACUGACUCACUAACCAAGCAGAAGUCUACCUGGUUAUGCCACUAAGUAAAUUUUCCAAUGGGCUAAAUAAAUUAGCUGAUGGAGAGAUUCCGUGGGCACAAGAACCAGCACAAAGUGCUGGUUCAUCACCCACCCAUAGCUGGGGUGGCCCAAUCAGGACCCUCCCUUCCAGAGGAAAAUUGUCACUCUGCAUCUCAGUAAAUUAUAUCCCAAACAAGAUUGAUUCAAACACAAUUACCAUUUCCUUGAUUUUUCUUUCUGCAAUCUUAAGUGGUAUUUUUUAUUCAGAUCAUUUAAUUGAUCUGAAACCAUCACUGACUCAUAGCAGGAGUCAUGCAAGCAGAUCCCAUUCCCUGGUGCUCUUGCCUGUCCCUUUGCCAUCAUCUUCUCAAUUAAAACAAAUAAAACUGCUUUUUCAGCCACAAAAUAAGAAACAGACUUGAAUUAAAAAAAAAAGCAAAAAACAAAACCCAAAACCAAAACCAAACCCAUCAUAAAUUUAGAAACUUAUUAUUUCUUAGUGAUUCUUUUCUUUGGUAGGUGAGAGAAGUGUCACUGAUGAAGAUUCUUUAAUAGAAUGAAAACAAAGAUAGUUAAAUUCAUUUGUAUCACUGUAGCCUUUUUUUAAUAUUGAUUACCCUUAAACUUGAUUCUUACUGGACUGAUGCCAGGGGUUUCAGAAACACUGGAGGGGGUGGAGGUGGUAGGGAGGGUUGGAAAAAGAGGUAGAUGUGUCCAAAGCUCAUGAUUUUUUUCCAUUUUAACAGUGAGAAGGCUGGAGCUUAAAGUAAAGGUUUUGAUCCUGGUGUAAUAUACAAUAAAAAGUACCUUAAAGUUCAUUCUCUCCUGUAGUCAUGGAUACAGACAAGAAAUAUACCAGAACGAUUUUCCUUAAAAUUAACACUACAUUCACAUAAUAUUUUG